ACACGUAUAUUAAAACAAUAAACAAUUAAAAGCAAACCAAAAUAACCAUUUAAACACGUAGAAUGAAAUCAUUUUUCUUCCCAUUGACCAUCAUUAAAUUUAGAAUUGUCAUACUGACCAUCUUGAGCAGAAGAUUUGUAGU
Molecule: small RNA, 142 nt
Filed under: Debaryomyces hansenii
Lineage: Eukaryota; Fungi; Ascomycota; Pichiomycetes; Serinales; Debaryomycetaceae
Description: partial transfer-messenger RNA
Source: RNAcentral